RNAcentral lists this long non-coding RNA (605 nucleotides) under Homo sapiens (human). Its description in RNAcentral is "non-protein coding LINC00662:75". The record is from RNAcentral. Lineage: Eukaryota; Metazoa; Chordata; Mammalia; Primates; Hominidae.
GAAUCUAUGAAGGGACAUCAUUUCUGAGCCCAUUGAGACUUGUAGUGAAAAACCAAGCAUCCCCUGAUAAAUAGGUAGUAGAAACAAACUACCUAUGAAAAUGCUUUUUGAUUUGUGGAUUUAUCUCACAGUGUUAAAUUUUUGAUUUGAUUCAACUGGUUGAAAACAUUCUUUAUGUAGAAUCUAUGAAGAGACGUUUUUGAGCUUAUCGAGAUGUAAGGUGAGAAACUGAAUAUCCCGCUAUGCAAAGUACAAACAAGCUCUCUGUGAAAAUGCUUUGUUAUAUGGGGAUUCUUCUCACUGAAUGGAUCUUGUGUUGUGAUUCACUGGGUUGGAAACACUUUUUUUUAGAAUCUAUGAAGGGACAUUUCCGAGGCCAUCGAGGCCUAUAGUGAACAACAGAAUAUUCUGUGAUAAAAACUAGAAACAACCUACCUGUGAAAACGAUUUGUGAUCUUUGGAUUCAUCUCACCACAUGGAACCUGUGUUUUGAUUCAGCUGGUUGGAAAAACUCUUUUUGUGGAAUCUACCAAAGGAUAUUUCUAAGCCCGUUGAGGCCUAUAUUAAAUUGAUUAUCUCAUGGUUGAAAGCAUUCUUUUUGUAGA